This 372-nucleotide ribosomal RNA is filed under the name uncultured Glomeromycotina. Its description in RNAcentral is "eukaryotic LSU rRNA". The record is from RNAcentral. Lineage: Eukaryota; Fungi; Glomeromycota.
UUGAAAGGGAAACGAUUGAAGUCAGUCGUACCUGCGGGUAAUCAGCCUUUUGGGCAUGAUUCUGUGGAGCGUGAGGAGUUAAACGCCUUCAUGCCUGCAUAUUCGUGUACUUUGGGUGUACAUGCCUGUGUGGUUAGUUAACAUCAAUUUUGGUUAUCAUAAAAUGGUUGGAGGAAUGUAGCUUCGAUUUCGAUUGAAGUGUUAUAGCCUUCGGCAGAUGUGAUGGUCGGGAUUGAGGAUUGCAACGGAUACCCUUCGGGGCUACCUGUCUGGUCUCUGAUCGUUGCUCUGGUGCCGAAAGCGUGCUUACGGUUAUCAAAGUCGAUGGUCAAUAGGUUAGAACGGGUUAAAUUCGUUAAGGAUGUUGACGUA